GCGGAAGUAGUUCAGUGGUAGAACACCAGCUUCCCAAGCUGGACGUCGCGGGUUCGAGUCCCGUUUUCCGCUCCA
Molecule: transfer RNA, 75 nt
Filed under: Clostridiales bacterium
Lineage: Bacteria; Bacillati; Bacillota; Clostridia; Eubacteriales
Also listed under: 6 other names
Description: tRNA-Gly
Rfam family: tRNA
About the family: Transfer RNA (tRNA) molecules are approximately 80 nucleotides in length.
Source: RNAcentral